Molecule: unclassified non-coding RNA, 279 nt
Filed under: plant metagenome
Description: partial contains small subunit ribosomal RNA, internal transcribed spacer 1, and 5.8S ribosomal RNA
Rfam family: 5.8S ribosomal RNA (bases 235-279)
Source: RNAcentral
UUUCCGUAGGUGAACCUGCGGAAGGAUCAUUAUUGUAUAACCGAGGUGCGAGGGCUGUCGCUGACCCGAAAGGUCGUGCACGCCCGAGUGCCCUCACACACAUCCAUCUCACCCCUAUGUGCACCACCGCGUGGGUCCCCCUUUGGCUUGUUCGGAGGGGGGCUUACGUUUUCACACAAACUUUGUAUGCAGUGUAGAAUGUAUUUUUUGUUUUUGCGAUCACGCAAUCAAUACAACUUUCAACAACGGAUCUCUUGGCUCUCGCAUCGAUGAAGAACC